Molecule: ribosomal RNA, 460 nt
Filed under: uncultured bacterium
Lineage: Bacteria
Description: partial 16S ribosomal RNA
Rfam family: Bacterial small subunit ribosomal RNA
Source: RNAcentral
CCUACGGGAGGCAGCAGUGAGGAAUAUUGGUCAAUGGACGGAAGUCUGAACCAGCCAUGCCGCGUGCAGGAAGACGGCUCUAUGAGUGGUAAACUGCUUUUGUACAAGGGUAAACCUGAAUACGUGUAUUCAGCUGACAGUACUGUACGAAUAAGGAUCGGCUAACUCCGUGCCAGCAGCCGCGGUAAUACGGAGGAUCCAAGCGUUAUCCGGAUUUAUUGGGUUUAAAGGGUGCGUAGGCGGAUUGAUAAGUUAGAGGUGAAAUGUCCGAGCUUAACUCGGGAACUGCCUCUAAUACUAGUGAUACAGAGAGUAGAUGAGGUAGGCGGAAUGUACGGGGUAGCGGUGAAAUGCUUAGAGAUCAUACAGAACACCGAUUGCGAAGGCAGCUUACCAAUCUAUAUCUGACGUUGAGGCACGAAAGCGUGGGGAGCAAACAGGAUUAGAUACCCUUGUAGUC